UAAAGGCAGCAGUGGGGAAUAUUGCACAAUGGGCGAAAGCCUGAUGCAGCUAUGCCGCGUGUAUGAAGAAGGCCUUAGGGUUGUAAAGUACUUUCAUCGGGGAGGAAAAAACAAAACUAAUAAUUUUAUUUCUUGACGUUACCCGAAAAAGAAGCACCGGCUAACUCCGUGCCAGCAGCCGCGGUAAUACGGAGGGUGCUAGCGUUAAUCAGAAUUACUGGGCGUAAAGAGCACGUAGGUGGUUUUUUUAAGUCAGAUGUGAAAUCCCUGGGCUUAACCUGGAACUGCAUUUUGAAACUGAAAUACUAGAGUAUCGUAGAGGGAGGUAGAAUUCUAGGUGUAGCGGUGAAAUGCGUAGAUAUCUGGAGGAAUACCUGUGGCGAAAGCGGCCUCCUAAACGAAUACUGACACUGAGGGUGCGAAAGCGUGGGGAGCAAACAGGGAUUAGAUACC
Molecule: ribosomal RNA, 453 nt
Filed under: uncultured bacterium
Lineage: Bacteria
Description: bacterial SSU rRNA
Rfam family: Bacterial small subunit ribosomal RNA
Source: RNAcentral